This 364-nucleotide ribosomal RNA is filed under the name uncultured bacterium. Its description in RNAcentral is "partial 16S ribosomal RNA". It matches the Rfam family "Bacterial small subunit ribosomal RNA", at positions 338 to 699 of the family's 1533-position model. The record is from RNAcentral.
CCUACGGGUGGCAGCAGUGAGGAAUAUUGGUCAAUGGACGCAAGUCUGAACCAGCCAUGCCGCGUGCAGGAAGACGGCUCUAUGAGUUGUAAACUGCUUUUGUACGAGGGUAAACGCAGAUGCGCGUAUCUAUCUGAAAUUAUAGUACGAGUAAGGAUCGGCUAACUCCGUGCCAGCAGCCGCGGUAAUACGGAGGAUUCAAGCGUUAUCCGGAUUUAUUGGGUUGAAAGGGUGCGUAGGCGGUCGGAUAAGUUAGAGGUGAAAUCCCGGGGCUCAACUUCGGAACUGCCUCUGAUACUGUUAGGCUAGAGACUCGUAGCGGUAGGCAGAAUUUAUGGUGUAGCGGUGAAAUGCUUAGAGAUCA